This 429-nucleotide ribosomal RNA is filed under the name bacterium. RNAcentral's name for it is "partial 16S ribosomal RNA". It matches the Rfam family "Bacterial small subunit ribosomal RNA", at positions 355 to 776 of the family's 1533-position model. The record is from RNAcentral.
UGGGGAAUCUUCCGCAAUGGACGAAAGUCUGACGGAGCAACGCCGCGUGAGUGAUGACGGUCUUCGGAUUGUAAAGCUCUGUUAAUCGGGACGAAUGGUUUAUGUGCAAAUAGUGCAUAGACAUGACGGUACCGGAAUAGAAAGCCACGGCUAACUACGUGCCAGCAGCCGUGGUAAUACGUAGGUGGCAAGCGUUGUCCGGAAUUAUUGGGCGUAAAGCGCGCGCAGGCGGACUAGCCAGUCAGUCUUAAAAGUUCGGGGCUUAACCCCGUGAUGGGAUUGAAACUACUAGUCUAGAGUAUCGGAGAGGAAAGUGGAAUUCCUAGUGUAGCGGUGAAAUGCGUAGAUAUUAGGAAGAACACCAGUGGCGAAGGCGACUUUCUGGACGAACACUGACGCUGAGGCGCGAAAGCCAGGGGAGCGAACGGG